Piliocolobus tephrosceles (Ugandan red Colobus) is the source of this 3121-nucleotide long non-coding RNA. RefSeq lists it as uncharacterized. The record is from RefSeq and is a predicted model, not a curated record. The transcript has 4 exons. Lineage: Eukaryota; Metazoa; Chordata; Mammalia; Primates; Cercopithecidae.
GUCCCCGGGGGGCUCCGGGCUCCUCUAGGGCCUCGCCGGGGACACGAGGAAAACGACCUUCUUUUCCCUUGCAGCGGCGGGGGAGGGCGAAGUGGAGGACCGCUGCUCGGUUCCGUAUCCAAAGGGACCCAAGGCUACAGGCAAAAUAGAUUGGACAUUUUCACUUUCUCAAGCCAGGGCCACCGGUCUCCCAACCAGCAGCCACUGAGGGUGGUAUCGGGGCGCCCCUUCCCCUGGCGGCGUAUUUCAGCCCCCAGAAACAUCCCUCACCUCGGCCAUCCCCAGCGCCUUUGCAGGGACAACAGCACAACCAUAGCAGAGGUCUUGGACACCCUGGGAAUAAUGUGCUGGUGUAAAUGCUGGAUUGAGAAAUGAAAAAGCAUUUGGGAUCAAUUUGGGGCCCUCUCGUUUGACACGGGAGGAAACACCAGGCCGCAGCGUUGGGGGAAGCUGCUUCCUUUCUCUUCUUUCUCUUUCUCUCUCAGGUGCUUCCUUUCUCUCUUUCUGUCUCUCUCUCUCCCUCCUUGUGGCUAGGUGAUCUGGCUCAGACUCUCUCUCGCUCUUUCUCUCUCUCAGGUGCUUCCUUUCUCUCUCUCUUCUCUCUCUGUCUGUCUCUCUUCCUCCUUGUGGUUAGGUGAUCUGGCUCAAGUGCACGUUGGUCCGCGCCUGCGGGGAGCUGAAAAGCAAAAGACUGGACCUUUGCAAGUGUCAAGCAAGGUUUGACCUGCUUUGAAGACAGUGAUUUCAGAGCCACUCCGGUCUCUGCGUCACAAGCAAGCAUCAUGGCAGUGGUGGGGCGGCAGGUGAUCCUGAGACCGCCUAUGCCAUUUCUCUGGCUCCGGUGCUUCUGGCCUCUCCCUUCAGAAGACAGCACUUGUGCCUGGCAGUGUGUGAGUUCAGAGGCAAACUGUCCGAACCAUCACCCAAAUCUGACGCGAAUGGAACAACUAUGUUAAACAGAAGCACAAGAUCACGACCAGCAACAUCAAAAUAAACCAUCUUCUGGAAAUACUUUUAUAAUACUACAAAAAUUAAAAGAAAUCCUCUAAUUUACAUGUGUGCUUUCUAUGCUACUAGGCUAAGUUCAUGGACAGUCAGGAUUUAUUUUUUACAGGUUGUAUAGGACGCUCAUUGUACAAUGAUGGAAAACAGCCUGGCCCACAUGACAAAACCUCCACCAAAAGUAUAAAAUCAGCCCGGUGCGAUGCUGCGUGCCUGGAGUCCUAGCUACUCCUCGGGAGGCUGAGGUGGGAGGAUUGCUUCAGCCUUGGAAGGCUGUAGUGAACCAUGAUCGCACCAUUGCACUACAGCCUGGGCAACAGUGUGAGACCUUGUCUUAAAAAUAGUAAGAAUAAAAAUUAAAAAUAAAGGGAUGAAAACAGAGUAUAUGAAAACAAAGCUUCCCGUAUGAUGCCCUGCAUCUGUUGACAUUUUCUUGUCCUUGCGAGAGUCUUCCUACCACUCCAUGAAUCAAGACCUCUAGCAUGGCUUAAACACUAAGUGGUCACAUAGCUAACCCCAGACAGGCUUAGAAGAUAAACCAAGAAGACACCUUCUUUGGGGGAAAUAAAGUACCCACUAGGAAGGAAUCGUCUUAUUCCUUGCCUGGAGCAAGCCCAGACUUUAAGAUCUGAUGCUCAGGGUUCGGGCAGCCAGCCUGGUUACCUGUCUCUUUGAAUAUCUUCUCAUCUGGGGGGACGACAGAGCAGAGGCUGUUGAGGACCAGGGUCCCCAGUUUCAGCGCGUUCUUCUCUGAGCUCUUGUAGUAAUCCAGGGAAUUGUGGGUGAGUACAAACCACCGUUUCUUCAGUUUCAGUGAAGACAUCUUUGGACUGUUCUUCACCUCUUUGUGCAACCAUCCUGGAAAAAAAGAUGAAAGUGUAAGUGAAAAUCUACAAGGAGAAACCCCAAAGACCAUAUACCAUCAUCCACAUAAUGCCAACACAUGGAUGGGUUUCUAGCUACUUGCCAGAAAAAGACCACGGUCACCCCAACUCGAUGUAAAUGGAACUACGUGAAAGAAAAGCACAAAAUCACAACUAGCAACAAAAACACAAUCCUCUAGAAACAAUUUAUAAUGUCACAAAUUAAAAAUCACUUAAAAAAUCUCCAACAGUCAAAAUGGGAAAAGCAGCUCAAAAUGAAAAUGCUGCAGAUAUCUAUAUGUAAAUGGAAAGGGGAGCCUGUUAAACAGACCAAGGAAGCAGGGCAGGCAGUCACCUCUCACGAUGAAUUCCUGGCCCUCCACUCUGGUGUCCCCUUUGGACCUCUGCAGCAGGGUUAUCCAGUGGUGCAUCUCCUCCGGCGUGUCGGCGUUGCAGUGCAGCACCCGGUUGGCCGUGAUGAUCACAAACGAGUUGGGUCUGAGCGACAAGGUGAGAAGGAAACAAGGCCCCUUAGCUCUACCGUCAGCAUCACCUCUGUGUGAACCGCGACUCGGUGCCUUCUUCCUGCCUUCUGGGUCACGGGAUAUACACUGCUAGGCUUAUUCAUGUUUUUACUAAGGCAAACCUUGCUCAUUUCUGCAGAAUUUCUUUUACGCAUCAUUAACCUUUAAACUUGGAACGACACAUUCAUUCUGAAGGUCCUGGAAGGGAAAACAUUUCUUCAUGCAAAACUUUCCAGAUGAAACUCAGUUCCGGGAAGGCUAAAUAAGUUGGAAAGGGAGAAAAGUGGCCAGUUGAGGAAGACAGAAAAGCCUGAAAGAGGAUGCGAAAUUCUAAGGAUGGAUCAUCACAUGCCCAGCCUGGAGGAGUGAAGGGCUUGGGAGAGCAAAGAUGUGGAGAAGACGCCCCAGCCCCAUCCUAGGCAGCGCUCCCAUACCACAGCAUUCUGUGGGUUUGCCUGCUCAUCAUGCAUCUCCUGGAUCUCCUGGUCUGUGGACGCAUGGACCUGACUCAGCACGCUGAACCACUGGCUGUGGGGAAGAGAGAACAACUGUGAAGGAGAGGCCAACCUCGUACUGGCAAAGCAAUAGUGCCCUACUGCACGUCAUCUGUGAAAAUAACAUCUUGAAGCACCUUUGCUUUUAAUUUCAUUACUUCUUAGGGCUAAAUGUCGGUUUCAUUACCAAAGAAUAAAGUGAGAAGCAGCAGAUAAAGUACCUGUAAAUGCCUUUAAG